RNAcentral lists this ribosomal RNA (137 nucleotides) under Syntrophobacteraceae bacterium. Its description in RNAcentral is "partial 16S ribosomal RNA". It matches the Rfam family "Bacterial small subunit ribosomal RNA", at positions 1 to 131 of the family's 1533-position model. Lineage: Bacteria; Pseudomonadati; Thermodesulfobacteriota; Syntrophobacteria; Syntrophobacterales; Syntrophobacteraceae. The record is from RNAcentral.
UUGAACUGGAGAGUUUGAUCCUGGCUCAGAGUAAACGCUGGCGGCGUGCCUAACACAUGCAAGUCGCACGAGAACGUCUGUCUUCGGACGGGCAAGUAAAGUGGCGCACGGGUGAGUAACGCGUAGGCAACCUACCU